RNAcentral lists this ribosomal RNA (467 nucleotides) under uncultured bacterium. Its description in RNAcentral is "bacterial SSU rRNA". It matches the Rfam family "Bacterial small subunit ribosomal RNA", at positions 33 to 507 of the family's 1533-position model. The record is from RNAcentral.
UACGGAGACGCUGGCGGCGUGACUUACACAUGCAAGUCGAACGGUGACGAGGAGCUUGCUCCUCUGAUCAGUGGCGAACGGGUGAGUAACACGUGAGCAACCUGCCCCAGACUCUGGGAUAACAGUUGGAAACAGCUGCUAAUACCGGAUACGAGACGGAGAGGCAUCUCUACCGUCUGGAAAGUUUUCGGUCUGGGAUGGACUCGCGGCCUAUCAGCUAGUUGGUGAGGUAAUGGCUCACCAAGGUGACGACGGGUAGCCGGCCUGAGAGGGCGACCGGCCACACUGGGACUGAGACACGGCCCAGACUCCUACGGGAGGCAGCAGUGGGGAAUAUUGCACAAUGGGCGAAAGCCUGAUGCAGCGACGCCGCGUGAGGGAUGACGGCCUUCGGGUUGUAAACCUCUUUCAGCAGGGAAGAAGCGAAAGUGACGGUACCUGCAGAAGAAGCACCGGCUAACUACGUG